AAGUCGUAACAAGGUUUCCGUAGGUGAACCUGCGGAAGGAUCAUUAUCGAGUUUUGAAAGGGGUUGUAGCUGGUCUUCCGGGACACGUGCACGCCCUGCUCAUCCGCUCUACACCUGUGCACUAUCCGUAGGUCGGCGGUGGGGCCCUCCGGGGCUUCACCCCUUCCUAUGUCAUCUACAAACGCUUCAGUACCAGAAUGUAACGGCGAUAAUACGCAUAUAAUACAACUUUCAGCAACGGAUCUCUUGGCUCUC
Molecule: unclassified non-coding RNA, 255 nt
Filed under: air metagenome
Description: partial contains small subunit ribosomal RNA, internal transcribed spacer 1, and 5.8S ribosomal RNA
Rfam family: Eukaryotic small subunit ribosomal RNA (bases 1-46)
Source: RNAcentral